Molecule: transfer RNA, 65 nt
Filed under: Asthenopholis sp. AST01
Lineage: Eukaryota; Metazoa; Arthropoda; Insecta; Coleoptera; Scarabaeidae
Description: tRNA-Thr
Source: RNAcentral
GUUUUAAUAAUUUAAUAAAAAUAUUGGUCUUGUAAACCAAACAUAAGACUAGCUCUUUUAAAGCU